Molecule: small nuclear RNA, 103 nt
Organism: Penaeus chinensis
Lineage: Eukaryota; Metazoa; Arthropoda; Malacostraca; Decapoda; Penaeidae
Source: RefSeq, a predicted model, not a curated record
GUGUUAUAAGGAAGGAGAGAAAGUUAGCACUCCCCUUGACACAAUCGGACAACACAUAUACCCUCAAGGUACUGUCGCACUUGCGGCACCUUGCACAUUUUCU